CCUACGGGAGGCAGCAGUGAGGAAUAUUGGUCAAUGGGCGGGAGCCUGAACCAGCCAAGCCGCGUGAGGGAAGAAGGUACAGCGUAUCGUAAACCUCUUUUGUCAGGGAACAAAGGCGGGGACUAGUCCCCGGAUGAGGGUACCUGAAGAAAAAGCAUCGGCUAACUCCGUGCCAGCAGCCGCGGUAAUACGGAGGAUGCGAGCGUUAUCCGGAUUUAUUGGGUUUAAAGGGUGCGCAGGCGGCCUGUUAAGUCAGCGGUAAAAGCCCGGGGCUCAACCCCGGCGAGCCGUUGAAACUGGCGGGCUGGAGUUGGAGAGAGGUACGCGGAAUGCGCGGUGUAGCGGUGAAAGGCGUAGAUAUCAGGAGGAACAUCGGUGGCGUAAGCGCUUUACUGGGCCGUAAUUGACACUGAGGAACGAAAGCCGGGGUAGCAAAUGGGAUUAGAUACCCUUGUAGUC
RNAcentral lists this ribosomal RNA (459 nucleotides) under uncultured bacterium. RNAcentral describes it as "partial 16S ribosomal RNA". It matches the Rfam family "Bacterial small subunit ribosomal RNA", at positions 338 to 795 of the family's 1533-position model. The record is from RNAcentral.